CUUGGGACACUGUCAGGUGGGCAGUUUGACUGGGGCGGUCGCCUCCCAAAAGGUAACGGAGGCGCUCAAAGGUUCUCGCAGUACGGUCGGAAAUCGUACGUAGAGUGUAAAGGCAAAAGAGAGCUUGCUUGCAAGACAUACAGGUCGAGCAAGGAUGAAAAUCGGACUUAGUGAUCCGGUGGUUCUGCGUGGAAGGGCCAUCGCU
This 205-nucleotide ribosomal RNA is filed under the name Clostridioides difficile. RNAcentral's name for it is "partial 23S ribosomal RNA". It matches the Rfam family "Bacterial large subunit ribosomal RNA", at positions 2245 to 2449 of the family's 2925-position model. The record is from RNAcentral. Lineage: Bacteria; Bacillati; Bacillota; Clostridia; Peptostreptococcales; Peptostreptococcaceae.